GUGAGGAAUUUUCCGCAAUGGGCGAAAGCCUGACGGAGCAAUGCCGCGUGAAGGAUGACGGCCUAUGGGUUGUAAACUUCUUUUCUCAGAAAAGAAUUAUGACGGUAUCUGAGGAAUAAGCAUCGGCUAACUCUGUGCCAGCAGCCGCGGUAAGACAGAGGAUGCAAGCGUUAUCCGGAAUGAUUGGGCGUAAAGCGUCUGUAGGUUGUUUAAAAAGUAUUCUGUCAAAGAUUAGGGCUUAACCCUAGAUAGGCAGAAUAAACUUUUAAGCUAGAGUUUGGUAGAGGCAGAGGGAAUUCCCGGUGGAGCGGUGAAAUGCGUAGAUAUCGGGAGGAACACCAAAGGCGAAGGCACUCUGCUGGGCCAAUACUAACACUGAGAGACGAAAGCGAGGGGAGCAAAUGGGAUUAGAAACCCGUGUAGUCC
This 426-nucleotide ribosomal RNA is filed under the name uncultured bacterium. RNAcentral describes it as "partial 16S ribosomal RNA". It matches the Rfam family "Bacterial small subunit ribosomal RNA", at positions 354 to 796 of the family's 1533-position model. The record is from RNAcentral.